AGAGUUUGAUCAUGGCUCAGGACGAACGCUGGCGGCGUGCUUAACACAUGCAAGUCGAGCGGUAAGGCCCCUUCGGGGGUACACGAGCGGCGAACGGGUGAGUAACACGUGAGUGACCUGCCCCUGACUCCGGGAUAAGCGGUGGAAACGCUGUCUAAUACCGGAUAGGACCUUCCGUCGCAUGGCGGGGGGUGGAAAGCCUUGUGCGGUUGGGGAUGGGCUCGCGGCCUAUCAGCUUGUUGGUGGGGUAACGGCCUACCAAGGCGAUUACGGGUAGCCGGCCUGAGAGGGCGACCGGCCACACUGGGACUGAGACACGGCCCAGACUCCUGCGGGAGGCAGCAGUGGGGAAUCUUGCGCAAUGGGCGAAAGCCUGACGCAGCGACGCCGCGUGGGGGAUGACGGCCUUCGGGUUGUAAACCUCUUUUACCACUAACGCAGGCUCGGGGUGUUCUCCGGGUUGACGGUAGGUGGGGAAUAAGGACCGGCUAACUACGUGCCAGCAGCCGCGGUAAUACGUAGGGUCCGAGCGUUGUCCGGAAUUAUUGGGCGUAAAGAGCUCGUA
This 565-nucleotide ribosomal RNA is filed under the name uncultured bacterium. RNAcentral's name for it is "bacterial SSU rRNA". It matches the Rfam family "Bacterial small subunit ribosomal RNA", at positions 8 to 573 of the family's 1533-position model. The record is from RNAcentral.